AUAUAUCAACCUUCUCUUGUUGAGUGGGUUUGGAUGUGGGGGUUUGCUGGCCUCUUAAGAGGUUUCAGCUCUCCUGAAAUGCAUUAGCAGAACAACCCUGUUCAUUGGUGUGAUAACUAUCUACGCUGCUUGUUGACAGUGAAGCAAGUUCAGCUUCUAACAGUCCAUUAAAUUGGACAAAUUUUUAUUA
Molecule: unclassified non-coding RNA, 190 nt
Filed under: uncultured Cortinarius
Lineage: Eukaryota; Fungi; Basidiomycota; Agaricomycetes; Agaricales; Cortinariaceae
Description: sequence contains ITS2
Source: RNAcentral